This is a transfer RNA of Nicotiana attenuata, 56 nucleotides long. It matches the Rfam family "tRNA", at positions 9 to 63 of the family's 71-position model. From Rfam's summary of the family: Transfer RNA (tRNA) molecules are approximately 80 nucleotides in length. Their secondary structure includes four short double-helical elements and three loops (D, anti-codon, and T loops). Further hydrogen bonds mediate the characteristic L-shaped molecular structure. tRNAs have two regions of fundamental functional importance: the anti-codon, which is responsible for specific mRNA codon recognition, and the 3' end, to which the tRNAs corresponding amino acid is attached (by aminoacyl-tRNA synthetases). tRNAs cope with the degeneracy of the genetic code in two manners: having more than one tRNA (with a specific anti-codon) for a particular amino acid; and 'wobble' base-pairing, i.e. permitting non-standard base-pairing at the 3rd anti-codon position. NCBI's taxonomy places the organism in Eukaryota, Viridiplantae, Streptophyta, Magnoliopsida, Solanales, Solanaceae. The record is from Rfam.
AGCUCAGUGGUAGAGCGCCAGUGUUGUAAACUGGAGGUUUGUAGUUCGAUCCUGCA